UCCACCAGCGAGUGGGCUGGGAGGCAUAAGAAGCUGAGAGAAGACACAGCCAGGACAGCUGACCCAACUGGCCAAAGGGAUAUUCCAUAGGACAGAACGCCACACCCAGUAGAUAAACUGGGGGAAGCUGGCUGGGAGGAGCCAAUCACUGCUUGGGAACUGGCUGGACAGCAGUCGGCAGGUGAAGCACUUUGGUCAGGCCUACAAAGGAGUUGCAGACAGAAGCCAUGAACAGAUGUCCUCUUGGGAACCCUGCUGUGAGUUGGAAGGGGUUACUACUCUCAGCUGCUCAGCACCAUUCCAUGCUCUCCUCAUUAAGGAUCACCCCCACUGAUGUGCUCAUUGAACAGUUUGUAUGACCACUUCCUACAUGGUGCAGCUUCAGGGUGAGCCUGUUAUCCUGGUACAGACCAACGAUGAGCAAAACAAAUGGAGCUGAUUUUUGCUUAAAACAAACGAGGGAGCUCCUGCACAAGUGGUGUGAGUGGAUGGAGAGGGAAGCAGCCUUUGGCAGGGGAAGUACAGCAAGUAGCUAAAAUGGAACUUAUUCUGGUGACAUGGCCGGAUUUGGAGAAGUCUGUCUGUGGCUCAAACUAGCAGUUCCUCCAGUGUGUAAUGGAUGCAGUUACCCAGACAUCAGAAGGAAUCUGGCUCCAAGACAAUCAACUAGAAGAGCAUUUGUCCCAAAAGCGGUAUCACAGGCAUUGAAAGCUACUAGGAAUUACAGAAAACAGCUACCCAAGCUGCAGGUCAAUAAGAAUCACAAGUAAAUUAACGACAGUGUAACUUCCCUACAAAAAACACGUUCUUGUAAAUUCCCAAGCAUCAGCAUCUUCUGACUACUUUACAGCUUUUGGGUGUAUUUUGGCCCGUGAAAUCUGCCUGAUGUGCUGGAACCCAACUGCCCUCACCAGACAAGCAAACAAGCAAACCUCCUCUGCCACGCAAUUCUUUCAGGAAUUAAGAAACAUUCAUAGGGGUUCUCACAUCUUCCUAACGACAACAAACAGUUAGUCAAGUUACCUUUGUUAAGCAAACCAAUUUUCAUUGCUUUAAUUCAAACGGCCUUAAAAUAGAAUUCUUGCCUGCUUUAUUUUGUCAGAUGCAAAGAAAACUGAGAAACUGUAUCCAUUGUUCCUUAAAAGAGCUUAUUAGUGAAACAAAGACCUUUUUUUUCCAGUGA
Molecule: long non-coding RNA, 1183 nt
Organism: Taeniopygia guttata (zebra finch)
Lineage: Eukaryota; Metazoa; Chordata; Aves; Passeriformes; Estrildidae
Source: RefSeq, a predicted model, not a curated record